CGGCCCGUUCCACACCCACGGCCUUCUCCCCGUCACGAUGCCUCCACGAUCCCGGAUCCCCACCCCGCCGGCCCUGCGCCUCACCUUCCGGCCAGCCCCGCGCCAACGACCCCGCGCCUCCCCUCCCCGCCGGUCCCGCGUGCCUCCUGGAUCGUGUCGCCACCGGACACCCACGCCGCCGUCCUCUGCCCCAACCACUUCUGCCACUUACAUCUGCCCCGACCACUUCAGCCGCCGUCGUCCUCCCGCCGACCACCUCCACUACCGCUCUCCGCCCCGACCACCUCUGUCGCCGCCCUCAACCCCACCCACCUCCGUCCCCGCCCUGCGUCCCAGCCACCUCCGCCGCGCCUGCCCCAACCACCUCCUCCAUGGCCGCCCUCCGUCCCGACCACCCCCGCCACCAACCUCCCUGCGGCGCGACCUUCCCUCUGCUCCAUCGCGACCUUCCCUCUGCUCUAGCGCGGCUUGCCCUCUUCUCCGGCGCGUCCUCCACAACCUUCCUUCUCUCUCCACUGCGACGGCAACACAGGGAGCCAUAGCUCGUCACCGCCCGAUUUGUUUUGGUUGUUGCUAUUUUGUUUAAUUUCUUUCGGCUUCUUGCAAGAUCUGUGUGUUGGGGCAAUGAACUUUGCAAAAAUUGUAGUUCACGUCAUGCUUUUGCUUGAACCCGUGCACCACUACUUCCGAAAUCAGCUCUACUCGUUCAAGCUACAGAGCAUUUUCUUCAGGGGAAUGGAGAGCACCCUCACCCUGACCCGAUCUGCAGCGCCGCCCUGAGUCCUCCCAACGCAGCCCCAAGCCGUUCAACUACGCAGCCCCGGGCUGUUCAACGACGGAGCCGCCGGCCGUUCAUGAACGCAACACAACCCUGGAUCCUGCUGCUCAACGUCCAGUUCAACUUCUGCUGAAUCCGGUAAAGGGAGACUUCUUGUGAGAGCAAUUCCCUCUUAAUUUUUUUUCGUUCAAAGUUCUAAUUUGCUAGCUACUUGAGCUUCAGCUAGCCUGUGUAUGUGGCUACCAAGGUGGCAUGCAUUUAGUGCUACUUUGUUUUCGUAUCCACAUGUCGCCAACGGCACUACGAAGAGGAAGGUCAGCAUCUGUCCCUCUAGAAGUUCAGUUUGUUGAUUUUCUGAAGUUUUUAAAGUGGACUACAAUCGUGUAUAUUUUUGGAGGGCCUUGUGAAGUUCAGUUUGUUUCACUUUCUAAAGUUCGGUUUCUUGAUUUUCCGAAGUUCAGUUUGUUGAUUUUCUGAAGAAAAAGGUUGCUUCACUUGCACUCCUCUAUCUGGUCCUGUGUGGUGAUCUCCUCGACUCCUAGGUUAGGCACAAACUGAGAAUUGUAGGCAUCUUUUGAGUUUAAAAUGCUUGAAUCUACAGUACAGGAUUAGAUAACUUCCAGAAGGUCUAUAGUUCAUACCCCGCUGUCAUAGCAGCGAGCAGUCGUAGGUCGUCUGGCGUGCUCUUGGCUUGUUCUGUUGAGAAAAGUUCAGAAAACUAACUGAACUCUUGGCACGGUCUGGCGGUGUUUGGCUGCAUCGGCCACCAGACUGCCAACCUCCACCACCUGACGGCAAGGAGCCAAGGUGGUGAGCUGUUGACGCUGGCACAACACCCCGACGCAAGCGAGUCAAUUGUAGCCAACGCAAGGAGAGAUUAGUAUAGUGGUUUGUAGUGUUCAAAUCCAUACAUGGCGUUUUCUGGUGGAAUUGGUUAACAUGAAGGAGCUACGGGUUAAUACUACAAGCGCUUCACUUAAAUACUCCUAGUUGUCCACCAACUUUUAGUCAUUCGCUUUUGCAAGAAGUGCUCAUCUUUUUCCUAUUGCAUGACUAGCUUUCAAUGGUGAUGGCUCUGAUUUUUUUGGGA
Molecule: long non-coding RNA, 1868 nt
Organism: Triticum aestivum (bread wheat)
Lineage: Eukaryota; Viridiplantae; Streptophyta; Magnoliopsida; Poales; Poaceae
Exons: 2
Source: RefSeq, a predicted model, not a curated record